This 301-nucleotide ribosomal RNA is filed under the name uncultured bacterium. Its description in RNAcentral is "partial 16S ribosomal RNA". It matches the Rfam family "Bacterial small subunit ribosomal RNA", at positions 509 to 807 of the family's 1533-position model. The record is from RNAcentral.
CAGUAGCCACGGUAAUACGAAGGGUGCAAGCGUUACUCGGAAUUACUGGGCGUAAAGCGUGCGUAGGUGGUUGUUUAAGUCUGCUGUGAAAGCCCUGGGCUCAACCUGGGAAUUGCAGUGGAUACUGGGCGACUAGAGUAAGGUAGAGGAUAGUGGAAUUUCCGGUGUAGCAGUGAAAUGCGUAGAGAUCGGAAGGAACAUCUGUGGCGAAGGCGACUAUCUGGGCCAUUACUGACACUGAGGCACGAAAGCGUGGGGAGCAAACAGGAUUAGAUACCCCUGUAGUCCCUGUCUCUUAUAC